AUGGAGGCCAUCCGGAAGCAGGCAUCCAAGCUCCGAGAGCAGGUCGCCCGGCAGCAGCAGGCCGUGCUGAAGCAGUUCGGGGGCGGGUACGCAGACAGCGUGUUCGCGGACGAGGGCGAGGCGCAGCAGCACUCGAAGCUCGAGAAGCUCUACAUCUCCACGCGCGCCGCCAAGCACUUCCAAAGGGAUAUAGUUCGUGGGGUCGAGGGCUACAUCGUCACAGGCUCGAAGCAAGUCGAACUAGGCAAUAAGUUAUGUGAGGAUGGCAAGAAGUAUGGUGUUGAGAAUACCUGUACCAGUGGGAGUACAUUGUCGAGGGCAGCGUUGAGUUUUGCGAAGGCGCGAUCCCUGAUGGAGAAGGAACGGGCAAACCUGCUGAAAGCGUUUGGCACCCAGGUGGCAGAGCCACUGAGAGCCAUGGUGAUGGGAGCUCCUUUGGAAGAUGCUCGUCACCUUGCCCAAAGAUAUGACAGAAUGCGUCAAGAAGCUGAAGCACAGGCCAUUGAAGUUUCAAAGCGCCAAAUGAAAUUAAGAGAGACAUCUGGAAAUGGUGAUAUGAUUUCAAGGUUAGAGGCUGCUGAGUCGAAGCUGCAAGAGUUAAAAUCAAAUAUGGGGACUCUAGGCAAAGAAGCUGUUGCAGCAAUGACUGCUGUUGAAGCCCAACAACAAAGGCUGACAUUACAACGACUUAUCGCGAUGGUUGAAUCUGAGAGAAGUUACCACCAAAGGGUCCUUCAGAUUCUAGAUCAACUUGAAAGAGAGAUGGUAUCUGAGCGACAAAGAAUUGAAGGAGCACCUCCUCCUGUCAUUGAGAAUUCUAUGCCGCCGCCACCCGCAUAUGAAGAAGUUAACGGCAUAUUCAUGAGGACUCCAACAGUUGCAGAAUUGGUGGAGACAGUGGAGCACUUCCUGGCUGAGGCAAUCCAGUCAUACCGAGCUGAGAGUGAAACUGAGCUCAAUCUGUCAACUGGCGACUACGUAGUUGUUCGGAAGGUGUCAAACAAUGGGUGGGCUGAAGGUGAGUGCAGGGGGAAAGCUGGCUGGUUCCCUUCCGAGUUCAUCGAAAAACGGGACCGUGUACUGGCGAGCAAAGUCGCCCAGGUCUUCUAG
Molecule: ribosomal RNA, 1110 nt
Filed under: Triticum aestivum (bread wheat)
Lineage: Eukaryota; Viridiplantae; Streptophyta; Magnoliopsida; Poales; Poaceae
Description: partial small subunit ribosomal RNA
Source: RNAcentral